This is a small nucleolar RNA of Equus asinus (donkey), 139 nucleotides long. Lineage: Eukaryota; Metazoa; Chordata; Mammalia; Perissodactyla; Equidae. The record is from Ensembl.
AACCUCACUCCAGAUGAAAAUGGGCACUGUUGUUAAUGAUGUCCAGAAAUUGUUAAUGUGUCAAUAUAUAUUGAGACACAGAUUAUGCUUCCAUCACAGUACACGUAUUGCAGCGGUGACAAUGAGACCUGUAACAUUU